Molecule: ribosomal RNA, 449 nt
Filed under: uncultured bacterium
Lineage: Bacteria
Description: partial 16S ribosomal RNA
Rfam family: Bacterial small subunit ribosomal RNA
Source: RNAcentral
AGCGAACGCUGGCGGCAGGCCUGACACAUGCAAGUCGAACAAACUCUUCGGAGUUAGUGGCGGACGGGUGAGUAACACGUGGGAACGUGCCUUUAGGUUCGGAAUAACUCAGGGAAACUUGUGCUAAUACCGAAUGUGCCCUUCGGGGGAAAGAUUUAUCGCCUUUAGAGCGGCCCGCGUCUGAUUAGCUAGUUGGUGAGGUAAUGGCUCACCAAGGCGACGAUCAGUAGCUGGUCUGAGAGGAUGACCAGCCACACUGGGACUGAGACACGGCCCAGACUCCUACGGGAGGCAGCAGUGGGGAAUCUUGCGCAAUGGGCGAAAGCCUGACGCAGCCAUGCCGCGUGAAUGAUGAAGGUCUUAGGAUUGUAAAAUUCUUUCACCGGGGACGAUAAUGACGGUACCCGGAGAAGAAGCCCCGGCUAACUUCGUGUCAGCAGCCGCGGUAA